GCUGAGUCUGGACGCAAAAGGUCCUCCGAGUAACUCUGCCAGAGGAAUUUCUCCUGUUCACCCAAAGAAACCACAGCGGAAGUCCCUUCCUAAACUGCCUUCUGAAAAGGCUACCAUAUUGAAUUCCAUGAAGGAGGAAAAGAUCACCUUUUCGAAAGCAGCUAAUGAGGAAAAUACCACUUCAUCAAAAGCACCUAAUGAGGAAAAUACCACCUCAUCGAAUGCAACAAAGGAAGUUGCAUCUCCUACAGAAGAGCAGGAGCAGAUUCCUACAGCUGAGCCAGAAGAAACCCAGUUUCAUAAGGAUGAGGGACUGGUGGCUGAAGAGCAAGCUCAGCCUACCCUUGUACAAGAACCCAUAGCGUUGGAGAAUUAAGUUAAGAAGCAGUUGGAAUUUUGGAAUUGGAUGCUUAUACAAAGCUGUCGGCUUCUUUCUUCGUAAAUAAGAAAGGUUUGAGACAGAAAUUA
This 468-nucleotide long non-coding RNA is filed under the name Citrus maxima (pomelo). Its description in RNAcentral is "long non-coding RNA (CMAX_LNC001676)". Lineage: Eukaryota; Viridiplantae; Streptophyta; Magnoliopsida; Sapindales; Rutaceae. The record is from RNAcentral.